RNAcentral lists this ribosomal RNA (460 nucleotides) under uncultured bacterium. Its description in RNAcentral is "partial 16S ribosomal RNA". It matches the Rfam family "Bacterial small subunit ribosomal RNA", at positions 338 to 795 of the family's 1533-position model. The record is from RNAcentral.
CCUACGGGUGGCAGCAGUGAGGAAUAUUGGUCAAUGGGCGGAAGCCUGAACCAGCCAAGUAGCGUGCAGGAUGACGGCCCUACGGGUUGUAAACUGCUUUUAUACGGGAAUAACGCGCCUUACGUGUAGGGCUUUGCAUGUACCGUAUGAAUAAGGACCGGCUAAUUCCGUGCCAGCAGCCGCGGUAAUACGGAAGGACCGGGCGUUAUCCGGAUUUAUUGGGUUUAAAGGGGGCGUAGGCCGCAUGGCAAGCGUGCGGGGAAAUGUCCGGGCUCAACCCGGGCCGUGCAGCUCGAACUGGCGUGCUUGAGUCCGCGGAAAGCAGGCGGAAUUCGUCGUGUAGCGGUGAAAUGCUUAGAUAUGACGAAGAACCCCGAUUGCGAAGGCAGCUUGCUGCAGCGGAACUGACGCUGAUGCUCGAAAGCGCGGGUAUCGAACAGGAUUAGAUACCCCAGUAGUC